RNAcentral lists this long non-coding RNA (984 nucleotides) under Gallus gallus (chicken). Lineage: Eukaryota; Metazoa; Chordata; Aves; Galliformes; Phasianidae. The record is from RNAcentral.
GAAAACCAGGCCCUAUUGCUACCAGAUGAGCAGUGUGGGCACUGGAGGUGACUCAUGUGGAAUUGGUUUGCCCAGGGCACAAUGCAGAGCAGCCACAUGGGCACAGCGCCGCACAAAGGCGCUCUCAACAAGAGCCUGAUGGAGGUUUCACAGCAUUGUGGAUGGAACCUGCCCCUGCUUCAAAUUACAGGUUCGCUGCUGUGUGUUGCUGUGAGCAUUUCUGCAUUCUUUGAGCUGAUAUCUUUUUCUGGACGAAGCAGGAGCCUGACUUCUGUCACCUUACACACCAACUUACUGACAAAAGGAAAAAAUAAGAUACCAAAGAGAUUCUCAAAUUUCUCCUUGACUUGACGUGGCAUUUCCAACAAGAGUUAGAAGCAGUGGAAACUCAUAAAUAAAUUCAACAAUUUGCUAAAUUUAGCUGAAUAAAUGCUGCUUUUCCCUGCCGCUCUAUGUCAGAAGUGGGGAUUCCUUCAUGCAUUGGGAAGCACCAGCAAGAAAAUCCAAGCCAUGGUCUUGGCAGGAUGUUUCACAGCAAUUGUUAGCCUGAAAAGCUCUGAAUAUUCUUACGAAUGGAAUAUCACAGGGUUGGAGAAUGUGUGCACUCUUCCAGGUGAGUUUCUCAGGGGUGUGUGUGGUAUUUGAGGACCUGUGAUGUACAGCGUUGUUACGGACUGCUCGCUGUGGGUGCUGGAUAUAUGGCACUGUUGCUGUUAGAGUAAUUAAGAGCACUGAUUAUCAUCAGUUGGUCGUGCCCUGCUGUGGGUGUUACUGUGUCGUCUCACUGGUCCUGACCUCGAUGGCAGGAGGUUGGAUGGUGGGAAGCACUGGGCACAAUUCUUUGAGGACUCAGUAUUCCUUGCAGCUGGUGCUGCGAGAUGGAUGUGGUAACGGGGCACAGACUGGAGCUCCCAGCCCCGCUUCGGGCCGGCCCCAGAACCUGCUCCUCUCAGGGAGAAAAUGGCGGCGCGGCCGCCGGGCGCC